This 293-nucleotide ribosomal RNA is filed under the name uncultured bacterium. RNAcentral's name for it is "partial 16S ribosomal RNA". It matches the Rfam family "Archaeal small subunit ribosomal RNA", at positions 455 to 747 of the family's 1478-position model. The record is from RNAcentral.
GUGCCAGCCGCCGCGGUAAUACCGGCAGCCCAAGUGAUGGCCGCUGUUAUUGGGCCUAAAGCGUCCGUAGCUGGCCGCACAAGUCCGUCGGGAAAUCCGCCCGCUCAACGGGCGGCCGUCCGGCGGAACCUGUGUGGCUUGGGACCGGGAGGCCUGAGGGGUACGAUCGGGGUAGGAGUGAAAUCCUGUAAUCCCGCUCGGACCGCCGAUGGCGAAAGCACCUCGGAAAGACGGAUCCGACAGUGAGGGACGAAAGCUAGGGUCGCGAACCGGAUUAGAAACCCUGGUAGUCC